AGAUGAUGGAACUGAGAAGACUCAGCUCACUAAGACCAUCCUGUGUCUCCGCCUCCAGGUCCCGACUUCCGCUUCCGGUUCUUUCCCUAAACUCGGUAGGUCAUUCAAGCAGAGGUCAGGGCCGCACUGGUGCAGCUCCCGCACCUGGUGUGGUGAUGUCCAGGAUCAAGCACUGCUUCCCCUGGCUGACCCCAUUCUUGCCCAACUGCUCGCCUACCUUCAGAGCUGAUUUAGCUGUUUGGACACGACUGGCCAAACUGGAUCUCCACCUUGCUCCUUUUCAGGAGCUUAUUGCUGCUGCUGCUGCUGCUGCUGCUAAGUCACUUCAGUCGUGUCUGACUCUGUGCGACACACCAUAGAUGGCAGCCCACAAGGCUCCCCGUCCCUGGGAUUCUCGAGGCAAGAACACUGGAGUGGGUUGCCAUUGCCUUCUCCAAUGCAUGAAAAUGAAAAUGAAAAGUAAAAGUGAAGUCGCUCAGUCGUGUCCUACUCUUAGCGACCCCAUGGACUGUAGCCCACCAGGCUCCUCCAUCCAUGGGAUUUUCCAGGCAAGAGUACUGGAGUGGGGUGUCAUUGCCUUCUCCGAGCUUACUAGACCUGCACUAUAACAGCUCCUAUGGGUAGAAGGCUAGGACCCUGGAACCUGCCAGCAUUCCUGGGAUGCCACCUGCUGGCCAGGUCCUCAGCUGCUGACACAGGAUCCUUCCUCCUGGCCUUUCUAGGACUCCCCUGAGGAUGUUUGUCGGGGCAUCUUCUGGCUGCUCCCAGCAAUUACCGUAGGAGUCAUUUCUGCAAAGCCAGCCUUCCAUCUACCCUUGCCCUUAGGUUUGCCCAUCUAGGGAUGUUCUUGCCUUUAGCUGGGCUCCAGCUGAGUCUGUCCAGGCUGCCAAAUUCCAUCAUACCUACCCUCUGUGCACCCAAUCCCACCAGGAGGCAACUUGUCACAACAUGAGGUAAAGGACCUGAAUCACAGUGAGGAAGACUGUAAAACUUUCAUUCAUUUAUCCAUUUUUAUCUUCAUGCCCUAAUAUCCCAGAGUGAAGGAGGGGGUAAAUACAUUUGUAAGUAAGUGAGACAUAACAUUAACUUCUAAUUAGCAGUAGUUUAACUACUCAAAAGCUAUUGACUUUAAUCCCACCAUCAAGUUUCCUUUUCAACACUGACUGUACGGUAAUAAUACUGGGUCUGGGAGACCAGUUUGUCCAGGAUGUGGCUGAGAACUAUAAAACUUAACUCCUAAGAUAAUGCCUAUUUGAAAUGAACACAACAUUCCUUUUUAUGUAAAGACUGUUCUGUGGAAGUUUGCUUUAAUUAUUCCCUGAAAUAAAACAUUUAUUUAGGCAGGCUCUGAUCGGGAG
This 1358-nucleotide long non-coding RNA is filed under the name Capra hircus (goat). Its description in RNAcentral is "lncRNA (ENSCHIG00000002589.1)". Lineage: Eukaryota; Metazoa; Chordata; Mammalia; Artiodactyla; Bovidae. The record is from RNAcentral.